This 512-nucleotide ribosomal RNA is filed under the name uncultured bacterium. Its description in RNAcentral is "bacterial SSU rRNA". It matches the Rfam family "Bacterial small subunit ribosomal RNA", at positions 28 to 535 of the family's 1533-position model. The record is from RNAcentral.
GAUGAACGCUAGCGGGAGGCUUAAUACAUGCAAGUCGAACGGUAACAGGCGUAGCAAUACGUGCUGACGAGUGGCGCACGGGUGAGGAACACGUACGCAAUCUGCCUUUGACUGGAGGAUAGCCCUGGGAAACUAGGAUUAAUACUCCAUAAAAUUACGGAAGGGCAUCCUUUUGUAAUUAAACUUUCGGGGGUCAAAGAUGAGCGUGCGUUUGAUUAGGUAGUUGGCGGGGUAACGGCCCACCAAGCCUACGAUCAAUAGCUGGCGUGAGAGCGCGACCAGCCACACGGGAACUGAGACACGGUCCCGACUCCUACGGGAGGCAGCAGUAGGGAAUAUUGGACAAUGGCUGAAAAGCUGAUCCAGCCAUCCCGCGUGAAGGCAGAAGGUCCUAUGGAUUGUAAACUUCUUUUCUCUGGGAAGAAAGGGCGGGUUUCUACCUGCUCUGACGGUACCAGAGGAAUAAGCACCGGCUAACUCCGUGCCAGCAGCCGCGGUAAUACGGAGGGUGC